UACAGAGGUGGCAAGCGUUGUUCGGAAUUACUGGGCGUAAAGGGCGCGUAGGCGGCCAUCUAAGUCAGACGUGAAAUCCCCCGGCUUAACCUGGGAACUGCGUCCGAUACUGGAUGGCUUGAGUUCGGGAGAGGGAUGCGGAAUUCCAGGUGUAGCGGUGAAAUGCGUAGAUAUCUGGAGGAACACCGGUGGCGAAGGCGGCAUCCUGGACCGACACUGGCGCUGAGGAGCGAAAGCCAGGGGAGCAAACGGG
RNAcentral lists this ribosomal RNA (253 nucleotides) under uncultured prokaryote. RNAcentral's name for it is "partial 16S ribosomal RNA". It matches the Rfam family "Bacterial small subunit ribosomal RNA", at positions 524 to 776 of the family's 1533-position model. The record is from RNAcentral.